RNAcentral lists this ribosomal RNA (384 nucleotides) under Bifidobacterium thermacidophilum. RNAcentral describes it as "bacterial SSU rRNA". It matches the Rfam family "Bacterial small subunit ribosomal RNA", at positions 1043 to 1429 of the family's 1533-position model. The record is from RNAcentral. Lineage: Bacteria; Bacillati; Actinomycetota; Actinomycetes; Bifidobacteriales; Bifidobacteriaceae.
ACACGGUAGUCGUCAGAUCUUGUCUUGAGAUGUUGAUCAAGUUUCGAAACGAGCGCACGCCUAAACCCUUGUUGCCAGCGCGUCAUGGCGGGAAAUCACGGGGGACCGUCGGGGAUAACCCGGAGGAAGGUGGGGAUGACGUUUGAUGAUCCAUUAUCAUUUGUUCUGGGCUUUAUGCCGGUUCAAUGGCCGGUUUAAUGGGAUGGGACCAGGUGACUAGGUGCGGAUGCAUGAAAACAGGCCUCAGUUCGUAUGGGAGCGUGCAUUCACAGCUUCGUGAAGGUGGAGUCGUUGGUAAUCGCGGAUCAGCAACGCCGCGGUGAAUGUGUUCCCGGGCCUGUACACACCUGAAUCAAGUCGUGAAAAAUCCAGCACCCGAAGCCG